RNAcentral lists this ribosomal RNA (866 nucleotides) under uncultured bacterium. RNAcentral describes it as "SSU rRNA". It matches the Rfam family "Bacterial small subunit ribosomal RNA", at positions 524 to 1381 of the family's 1533-position model. The record is from RNAcentral.
UACAGAGACUGCAAGCGUUGUUCGGAUUCAUUGGGCGUAAAGGGUGCGUAGGCGGUCGGUUAAGUCGGAUGUGAAAUCUCACAGCCUAACUGUGAGCGGUCAUUCGAAACUAGCCGGCUUGAGGACUGGAGAGGAGACUGAAAUGGUUGGUGUAGCGGUGAAAUGCGUAGAGAUCAACCAGAACACCAGUGGCGAAGGCGGGUCUCUGGACAGUUCCUGACGCUGAGGCACGAAAGCCAGGGGAGCAAACGGGAUUAGAUACCCCGGUAGUCCUGGCCCUAAACGGUGUUCACUUGGUGUGCGAGGAGUCGACCCCUUGCGUGCCGAAGCUAACGCGAUAAGUGAACCGCCUGGGAAGUACGGCCGCAAGGCUAAAACUCAAAGAAAUUGACGGGGGCCCGCACAAGCGGUGGAGCAUGUGGCUUAAUUCGAUGCAACGCGAAGAACCUUACCUGGCCUUGACAUACAGCGUGAAAGCCGGUGAAAGCCGGUGACGGUCCGAAAGGAUGCUGGGACUGUACAAAUACUGCAUAGUUGUCGUCAGCUCGUGUCGUGAGAUGUUGGCUUAAGUGCCGCAACGAGCGCAACCCCUGUGUUUAGUUGCCUACGCAAGUAGGAUCUCUAAACAGACUGCCUCGCUUUAAACGAGGAGGAAGGUGGGGAUGACGUCAAAUCAGUAUGGCCCUUACGGCCAGGGCUGCACACGUGCUACAAUGCCCGGUACAGAGGGACGCAGAACCGCGAGGUGAAGCAAAUCCCGCAAAACCGGGCCCAGUUCAGAUUGCAGGCUGCAACUCGCCUGCAUGAAGCCGGAAUCGCUAGUAAUGGCGCAUCAGCUACGGCGCCGUGAAUACGUUCCCGGGCCU